AUGAAUAUAAAAACAUCAGGUGUCGGACGUUGGCGUUUAUGUUAACGGGUCCGAUGAAAAGGGAAACAGGUGAAAAUCCUGUACGAUCUCGUCACCGUGAUAAAUGAGCAGAGGGAAAUAUGCCACUGAGGAAUCGGGAAGGCUCCUUUCUGUGAUGAAGUUUAAGUCGGGAGACCUGCCUGCUGUUUGUACAAGGA
RNAcentral lists this non-coding RNA (197 nucleotides) under Ruminococcus sp. Lineage: Bacteria; Bacillati; Bacillota; Clostridia; Eubacteriales; Oscillospiraceae. RNAcentral also lists the same sequence under 1 other name. The record is from RNAcentral.